Transfer RNA from Gregarina niphandrodes, 71 nucleotides. It matches the Rfam family "tRNA". From Rfam's summary of the family: Transfer RNA (tRNA) molecules are approximately 80 nucleotides in length. Their secondary structure includes four short double-helical elements and three loops (D, anti-codon, and T loops). Further hydrogen bonds mediate the characteristic L-shaped molecular structure. tRNAs have two regions of fundamental functional importance: the anti-codon, which is responsible for specific mRNA codon recognition, and the 3' end, to which the tRNAs corresponding amino acid is attached (by aminoacyl-tRNA synthetases). tRNAs cope with the degeneracy of the genetic code in two manners: having more than one tRNA (with a specific anti-codon) for a particular amino acid; and 'wobble' base-pairing, i.e. permitting non-standard base-pairing at the 3rd anti-codon position. The record is from Rfam. NCBI's taxonomy places the organism in Eukaryota, Apicomplexa, Conoidasida, Eugregarinorida, Gregarinidae.
GCACUCGUGGUCCAAGGGUAGGAUUCGAGCCUUCCAAGCUCGCAGCCCGGGUUCGAGUCCCGGCGGGUGCA